Molecule: ribosomal RNA, 253 nt
Filed under: uncultured bacterium
Lineage: Bacteria
Description: partial 16S ribosomal RNA
Rfam family: Bacterial small subunit ribosomal RNA
Source: RNAcentral
AACGUAGGAGACAAACGUUAUCCGGAGUUACUGGGCGUAAAGGGCGCGUAGGCGGCCGCCUAAGUCAGACGUGAAAUCCCUCGGCUCAACCGGGGAACUGCGUCUGAUACUGGGUGGCUUGAAUUCGGGAGAGGGAUGCGGAAUUCCAGGUGUAGCGGUGAAAUGCGUAGAUAUCUGGAGGAACACCGGUGGCGAAGGCGGCAUCCUGGACCGAGAUUGACGCUGAGGCGCGAAAGCCAGGGGAGCAAACGGG